GGGCCAUAGCUCAGUGGUAGAUCACCUGUUUUGCAUGCAGAUGGUUUCAAGUUCAAUUCCUGGCAUCUCCU
Non-coding RNA from Podarcis lilfordi (Lilford's wall lizard), 71 nucleotides. The record is from the annotation of a GenBank genome assembly. NCBI's taxonomy places the organism in Eukaryota, Metazoa, Chordata, Lepidosauria, Squamata, Lacertidae.